GUAACGCGUAGGUAACCUGCCUUGUAGCGGGGAUAACUAUUGGAAACGAUAGCUAAUACCGCAUAACAAUGGGUGACACAUGUCAUUAUUUGAAAGGGGCAACUGCUCCACUACAAGAUGGACCUGCGUUGUAUUAGCUAGUAGGUGAGGUAACGGCUCACCUAGGCGACGAUACAUAGCCGACCUGAGAGGGUGAUCGGCCACACUGGGACUGAGACACGGCCCAGACUCCUACGGGAGGCGCAUG
Molecule: ribosomal RNA, 247 nt
Filed under: uncultured bacterium
Lineage: Bacteria
Description: partial 16S ribosomal RNA
Rfam family: Bacterial small subunit ribosomal RNA
Source: RNAcentral